GGAAAAAAAAAGAAAAGAAAAAGAAAAAGAAAACUAAGAAGGAAAGAGGCAGUGUGGUCGAGAGAGGAGAUAAGGGGGAGAGAGGGAGAUUUCUCAAUAUACAAAAGUUGUGAUCUACGAAGAUCCAACCGUUCAAAUUCAAAUCCGACUUCGGUAACGUGAUCUACAAAGCCCGAUCUACGUUUCUACCGAUCAUUUUGAGGUAAUGGAUUACUUGGAACUUGUUUGAGGCUACCCAAACCAUGAGUUUUGGUUUGGUGAAAUUUUGUAAUGCAUUGUAUGGUGGUGUCUAGGAGACCUAGUGCUUAAUAUCCGCGCAGCCAGACAUUGAUGCUUUGGUUGCAGGCUCUGCGGAUAUAGAUAUUGACUCGUCCACCUAGCGUAUGGGAUACUAUGAUUGGAGCACAUCGCAACAGUCAUAAGACACGGACUCAUGGGUAGUCCGCAUUUUGGGUAUUUUAUCUAUGGCUCGUGUCCUACGUGGCACAUGUACUUGUGGAGCCUAUAUUUUAGAAUGUAAUUAGUAUAAUAUGUUAUAUAAGCCUUAAAUAGAUAGAUGUGUAAAUGGCUCUUGAUGUAAUUAACAGUUGUGUAUUAGAUGUACUUCCGCUUAUGAUAUGUGUUUCGCUGCACAUUGAUUACUA
This is a long non-coding RNA of Alnus glutinosa, 644 nucleotides long. RefSeq lists it as uncharacterized. NCBI's taxonomy places the organism in Eukaryota, Viridiplantae, Streptophyta, Magnoliopsida, Fagales, Betulaceae. The record is from RefSeq and is a predicted model, not a curated record. The transcript has 4 exons.